AUGGCAACUCAUUCUUUUCGCCAGCCUUAUACAAGAGUGUAUAGUGGUAAAUCAUGUUUUUACCUUCGCGGAAUUUUCUUUUUUUGGCGACUUAGAGAGAAAAGCAGUCCCAAAUGCCCUAGCGCUUGUGCAUAUGUAGAUUUCAUCUGCGUAUUCUUGAGUCUGAAAUGUCAUGUACGUUGGUUAAUGCUGCAAGUAUUGUAUAUCGUCUCUGAGUUAAGAGUUGGAUUUUGUUACGUUUGUGUGCGUUGCCUUUGGGCCUUGGUGAUCCACUCCGGCUCUAUUCAUUUGUCGAUGAAAGAUGUUCUCUUCUAG
Molecule: ribosomal RNA, 315 nt
Filed under: Triticum aestivum (bread wheat)
Lineage: Eukaryota; Viridiplantae; Streptophyta; Magnoliopsida; Poales; Poaceae
Description: partial small subunit ribosomal RNA
Source: RNAcentral